GUUUGAGGCAAGCAUUUCAUUCUGAAUUCAGUGAUGUGGCAUUUAUGCCUGUGUUGUCUUUUAGGAGGAUCUCAGGGGGACUCAUGCUGACUUUGCUGCAAUGUUCUUGGUGAUGAUUCGUUGCCGUCGCUGCUGGUGCUUCUCUUGUGGCUGGAUCGUCAGCCGGCAGUGGGACUCUGUUUUACAAAAAACAUUGUGUUUGUGUUCGAAUAUUAAAUUACACUGUUUUUUUAUGGUUUUCAUUAAUUUUUGUGUAUACUUUAUUUCAUUUAACAUUUCUAUAAUUCAUCAUUACUCUUUACAGUAUCUGUGCAAUAAUUAUUGUCUAAAACGGCACAUUUAAAUGAAAAAAAAGGAUAGAAAUGUUAAUGAUGAUUGGAUAUGCUAAGAGGUGUUGAAGUAAUAAACUCUUUUUCAAUGGAAUUCAUCCUGAUUGAAAGCCCAUCUCCAAAUCAGUUGUUUCAAAGAUAUUGCAGAGGUUUAAGAAACAGAGUAUUAAAGAUCGAUCAAAACCUGGAUGGCUAAGCAGUGUUAUUAAUGAUGAAAAUUCGUUGACAGUUGUGUUAGAUGUGAUAGAAAAUCCAGAAUGUUCUAUACAGCAGUGGCAUUGAACCAUAUGAGUAUACUCUGUCCACUCUAACUUGGCAGUAAAUGUAAACAAACACAGGUGGCUAAAGUAAUCAGGAUUGGUUGAUGUCCUAUUUGCACUAAUGAUAUCCCGCAAUAUAGUUUUAUUAUAAUAACAAUGCUUUAUUAUUAAAUUUUUUAUACUUUGCAGGUAUAGUUAGUUGAGAGCAAUAGCAUCGAAAAAAAUUGUAAUAAUAUUGUGAAGAAAUUGGCUCUGG
This 845-nucleotide long non-coding RNA is filed under the name Androctonus crassicauda. The record is from RNAcentral. Lineage: Eukaryota; Metazoa; Arthropoda; Arachnida; Scorpiones; Buthidae.